This 235-nucleotide ribosomal RNA is filed under the name uncultured bacterium. Its description in RNAcentral is "partial 16S ribosomal RNA". It matches the Rfam family "Bacterial small subunit ribosomal RNA", at positions 524 to 758 of the family's 1533-position model. The record is from RNAcentral.
UACGUAGGGUGCAAGCGUUAAUCGGAAUUACUGGGCGUAAAGCGUGCGCAGGCGGUUGUGCAAGACAGAUGUGAAAUCCCCGGGCUUAACCUGGGAACUGCAUUUGUGACUGCACGGCUAGAGUGCGGCAGAGGGGGAUGGAAUUCCGCGUGUAGCAGUGAAAUGCGUAGAUAUGCGGAGGAACACCGAUGGCGAAGGCAAUCCCCUGGGCCUGCACUGACGCUCAUGCACGAAA